RNAcentral lists this ribosomal RNA (301 nucleotides) under uncultured bacterium. Its description in RNAcentral is "partial 16S ribosomal RNA". It matches the Rfam family "Archaeal small subunit ribosomal RNA", at positions 459 to 760 of the family's 1478-position model. The record is from RNAcentral.
CAGUAGCCGCGGGAAUACCAGCACCUCGAGUGGUCAGGAGGUUUAUUGGGCCUAAAGCAUCCGUAGCCGGUUGCAUAAGUUUUCGGUUAAAUCUAUGCGCUUAACGUAUAGGCCGCCGAAAAUACUGUGCAGCUAGGGAGUGGGAGAGGUACACGGUACUCGAUAGGAAGGGGUAAAAUCCUUUGAUCUAUUGAUGACAACCUGUGGCGAAGGCGGUGUACCAGAACACGUUCGACGGUGAGGGAUGAAAGCUGGGGGAGCAAACCGGAUUAGAUACCCCCGUAGUCCCUGUCUCUUAUAC